GAUGAACGCUAGCGGCAGGCCUAAUACAUGCAAGUCGAGGGGUAGAAGAGGCUUGCUUCUUUGAGACCGGCGCACGGGUGCGUAACGCGUAUGCAACCUACCUUCAUCUGGGGGAUAGCCCGGAGAAAUCCGGAUUAAUACCACAUAAAAUCACAGGAUGGCAUUAUCCAAUGAUCAAACAUUUAUGGGAUGCAGAUGGGCAUGCGUGUCAGUAGCUAGUUGGCGGGGUAACGGCCCACCAAGGCGACGAUGACUAGGGGGUCUGAGAGGAUGGCCCCCCACACUGGUACUGAGACACGGACCAGACUCCUACGGGAGGCAGCAGUAAGGAAUAUUGGUCAAUGGAGGCAACUCUGAACCAGCCAUGCCGCGUGCAGGAAGACUGCCCUAUGGGUUGUAAACUGCUUUUAUUCGGGAAUAAACCUUAUUACGUGUAAUAAGCUGAAUGUACCGAAGGAAUAAGGAUCGGCUAACUCCGUGCCAGCCGCCGCGGUAA
This 496-nucleotide ribosomal RNA is filed under the name uncultured bacterium. Its description in RNAcentral is "partial 16S ribosomal RNA". It matches the Rfam family "Bacterial small subunit ribosomal RNA", at positions 28 to 523 of the family's 1533-position model. The record is from RNAcentral.